UACGUAGGGUGCAAGCGUUAAUCGGAAUUACUGGGCGUAAAGCGUGCGCAGGCGGUUUUGUAAGUCUGUCGUGAAAUCCCCGGGCUCAACCUGGGAAUUGCGAUGGAGACUGCAAGGCUAGAAUCUGGCAGAGGGGGGUAGAAUUCCACGUGUAGCAGUGAAAUGCGUAGAGAUGUGGAGGAACACCGAUGGCGAAGGCAGCCCCCUGGGCAAGAUUG
RNAcentral lists this ribosomal RNA (218 nucleotides) under uncultured bacterium. RNAcentral's name for it is "partial 16S ribosomal RNA". It matches the Rfam family "Bacterial small subunit ribosomal RNA", at positions 524 to 742 of the family's 1533-position model. The record is from RNAcentral.